RNAcentral lists this ribosomal RNA (197 nucleotides) under uncultured bacterium. RNAcentral describes it as "partial 16S ribosomal RNA". It matches the Rfam family "Bacterial small subunit ribosomal RNA", at positions 328 to 539 of the family's 1533-position model. The record is from RNAcentral.
ACGCUCGACACCUACGGGAGCAGCAGUCGGGAAUAUUGCGCAAUGGAGGAAACUCUGACGCAGUGACGCCGCGUAUAGGAAGAAGGUUUUCGGAUUGUAAACUAUUGUCGUUAGGGAAGAAAAAAGACAGUACCUAAGGAGGAAGCUCCGGCUAACUACGUGCAGCAGCCGNGGUAAUCUGAGCGGGCUGGCAAGGC